GACGAACGUUGGCGGCGUGCUUAAUACAUGCAAGUCAACUGAAGCAGUGGCAGCAAUAUCGCUGUGGAGGUGGCGCACGGGUGAGUAACACGUAGGUAAUCUGCCUUCAGGUCUGGCAUAACUCCGGGAAACCGGGGCUAAUAGCAGAUGAUGCAGCGGCUCGACAUCGAGACAGUUGUUAAAGCUAUGGCGCCUGAAGAUGAGCCUGCGUCUGAUUAGCUAGUUGGCGGGGUAACGGCCCACCAAGGCAACGAUCAGUAGCUGGUCUGAGAGGAUGAUCAGCCACACUGGAACUGAGACACGGUCCAGACUCCUACGGGAGGCAGCAGUAAGGAAUAUUGCUCAAUGGGAGAAAUCCUGAAGCAGCAACGCCGCGUGAGGGACGAAGGGCUUUGGCUUGUAAACCUCUGUAGUGAGAGAAAAAAAUCCCAAUCUUUGGGACAUGAUGGUAUCUCAAAAGUAAGCCCCGGCUAACUACGUG
Molecule: ribosomal RNA, 481 nt
Filed under: uncultured bacterium
Lineage: Bacteria
Description: partial 16S ribosomal RNA
Rfam family: Bacterial small subunit ribosomal RNA
Source: RNAcentral